RNAcentral lists this ribosomal RNA (770 nucleotides) under uncultured Neocallimastigales. RNAcentral describes it as "partial large subunit ribosomal RNA". The stretch from base 4 to 661 matches the Rfam family "Eukaryotic large subunit ribosomal RNA", at positions 24 to 664 of the family's 3401-position model. Lineage: Eukaryota; Fungi; Neocallimastigomycota; Neocallimastigomycetes; Neocallimastigales. The record is from RNAcentral.
GUACACGCUGUGACUAGCAUAUCAAUAAGCGGAGGAAAAGAAACUAACAAGGAUUCCCUCAGUAACGGCGAGUGAAGCGGGAAGAGCUCAAAUUUGAAAUCUUGAAAGGUCACCUUUCACGAAUUGUAGUUUAAAGAAGUGUUUUCUGUUACGAUCGUAAUAUAAGUUCUUUGGAAUAGGACAUCACAGAGGGUGAGAAUCCCGUCUAUGAUUGCGAUUUGUAGCUUUGUGAUACACUUUCAAAGAGUCGGGUUGUUUGGGAAUGCAGCCCAAAACGGGAGGUAAAUUUCUUCUAAGGCUAAAUAUUGGCGAGAGACCGAUAGCGAACAAGUACCGUGAGGGAAAGAUGAAAUGAACUUUGAAAAGAGAGUUAAAUAGUACGUGAAAUUGUCAAAAGGGAAGCGUUUAACACCAGUGUUGUUUUCUGAAAAUCAACCUCUGUUAGCUUUAUGCAUGUUUGUUUAGACCUAAUCAGCUAUCUUUCAUGUUCUAUUGUUUGCAGUGGUGCACUUUUCAGUUUACAGGUCAACAUCAGUUUUUUUUACCGUAAAAAAGUUAAAGAAAGGUAGCUCAUGGCUCCGGUCGUGAGUGUUAUAGUCUUUUUCCUAUGCGGUAGGAGAGACUGAGGUCUGCAGUGUAGGCUAUUUGGCUAGAUACUCAGGUGCUAUGUGAUACCAUUUCAUAAACAACUUGUUGAUUAUGUUUUGUCUAUUGCAUACUCGCUUGUACUAUCAUACCUACGCUUAGGAUGUUGAACUACUGAGACAUAG